RNAcentral lists this transfer RNA (75 nucleotides) under Anaerolineae bacterium CFX9. RNAcentral's name for it is "tRNA-Thr". It matches the Rfam family "tRNA". Rfam says of the family: Transfer RNA (tRNA) molecules are approximately 80 nucleotides in length. The record is from RNAcentral. Lineage: Bacteria; Bacillati; Chloroflexota; Anaerolineae.
GCCACCUUAGCUCAACGGCAGAGCAAACGCUUCGUAAGCGUUAGGUUUUGGGUUCAAAUCCCAAAGGUGGCUACA